This 491-nucleotide ribosomal RNA is filed under the name uncultured bacterium. Its description in RNAcentral is "partial 16S ribosomal RNA". It matches the Rfam family "Bacterial small subunit ribosomal RNA", at positions 29 to 507 of the family's 1533-position model. The record is from RNAcentral.
UUGCACGCUGGCGGCAUGCUUUACACAUGCAAGUCGAACGGUAACAGGCCUUCGGGUGCUGACGAGUGGCGAACGGGUGAGUAAUGCAUCGGAACGUACCCAGAGGUGGGGGAUAACGCAGCGAAAGCUGUGCUAAUACCGCAUGUGAUCUGAGGAUGAAAGCGGGGGACCGAGCAGCAAUGUUUGGCCUCGCGCCUUUGGAGCGGCCGAUGGCGGAUUAGCUAGUUGGUGGGGUAAAGGCCUACCAAGGCGACGAUCCGUAGCUGGUCUGAGAGGACGAACAGCCACACUGGGACUGAGACACGGCCCAGACUCCUACGGGAGGCAGCAGUGGGGAAUUUUGGACAAUGGGCGCAAGCCUGAUCCAGCAAUGCCGCGUGCGGGAAGAAGGCCUUCGGGUUGUAAACCGCUUUUGGCAGGAACGAAACGGUGUCCGCUAAUACCGGGCGCUAAUGACGGUACCUGCAGAAUAAGCACCGGCUAACUACGUG